UAUUAAAAAUUAUUAUUAUUAUUAUUAUUAUUAUUUAUUUAUUUAUUUAUUUAUUUAUUUAUUUAUUUACUUAUUUAUUUUUUCUUACUUGUUGUCCAUGUAAUAUAAAAUUGUAAAUAAAAAGUAUAUAAAAAAAAAAAAAAAAAAAAAUUAAAGUAAUCACAGUGAGACGUUCAAAGUCCGUAGGAACCCUGCGCAUCCUAAUUAACUUUACGCGCAAAACCUGACGUGAAAGUAAACAUAUGGUCAUGCUACGUAAAUAUAUUAUUUUAUCAGUCAUAUAAAACGUUUAGAGAGCCCAUAUCAAUGCAUACACAUAAAAAAAUAUAUAUUCGUGUAUCUUGAUACAUUUUGUACGUGUGUACGUGAACGUGACAAGGAGGAGGCGUUAUUUAAAAAUCACCUGCUGAUUUUCAGUUACUCUGCGAGCAGCGAGAGACGGAGACAGACGUUCGGAGAGCUUUGAACAGAGAAAACGUUUACCAGACCCACAGAAAAGUCUCUUUAGAGACUCCUACAGAACCAGAACCAGACCAGGACUUCAGACCAGUACCAGACAGAGAAAGACUUCAAACCAGAGGACAAGUUAAGACCAGGAGGAGACCAUGGGGCCACGCAUGGCAGAGUGUCCAGAGUUUUUAGGUUUUUUCCCUGACAGCGCUGGAACGCAAGGCUGGGUCCAGAGCUGGGCAGGACCUCCGGGUUUGGUCCCAGGUUUGCCUGAACCUCCGGGUUCGGUCCCAGACUGGGCAGAACCUCCGGGUUUGGUCCCAGGCUGGGCCGAACUUCUGGGUUUGCUCCCGACCUGGUACUUGACUCCAGAAGCAGCAGAAGACCUUGAAGAACCAGAAGACCUUGAAGAACCAGAAGACCUUGAAGAACCAGAAGACACAGACGCCCCUGAGGAGGAGCUUCCUGAGUGGACUGCGUUCUACUUCGACGAGGUGACCCCUGGCUGGGAGACCCCUGAGGAGUCUGCUUCCUCAGCCUCCAGUGACUCUGAAGGUGAGUAUUCCCAGGAGUCACCACUUGGACGCAGUGUCUCCAGGAAGAGGUACGUAGACGGUUCUGAGGAACCUGCAUCGUCCGACUCUGACAGUCACUGUGAGCCUGGGACGAAGAGGCCGAGACGGGACGACAGCUCUGACUCAUCUUAGAGUCAUCUGUACUU
This 1171-nucleotide long non-coding RNA is filed under the name Gouania willdenowi (blunt-snouted clingfish). RNAcentral's name for it is "lncRNA (ENSGWIG00000017918.1)". Lineage: Eukaryota; Metazoa; Chordata; Actinopteri; Blenniiformes; Gobiesocidae. The record is from RNAcentral.